This 483-nucleotide ribosomal RNA is filed under the name uncultured bacterium. Its description in RNAcentral is "bacterial SSU rRNA". It matches the Rfam family "Bacterial small subunit ribosomal RNA", at positions 30 to 507 of the family's 1533-position model. The record is from RNAcentral.
UUGAACGUUGGCGGCAUGCCUUACACAUGCAAGUCGAACGGCAGCGCGGACUUCGGUCUGGCGGCGAGUGGCGAACGGGUGAGUAAUGUAUCGGAACGUACCAUUCAGUGGGGGAUAACGCAGCGAAAGUUGCGCUAAUACCGCAUAUUCUGUGCGCAGGAAAGCAGGGGAUCGCAAGACCUUGCGCUGAUUGAGCGGCCGAUAUCAGAUUAGCUAGUUGGUGAGGUAAAGGCUCACCAAGGCGACGAUCUGUAGCGGGUCUGAGAGGAUGAUCCGCCACACUGGAACUGAGACACGGUCCAGACUCCUACGGGAGGCAGCAGUGGGGAAUUUUGGACAAUGGGCGCAAGCCUGAUCCAGCCAUGCCGCGUGAGUGAAGAAGGCCUUCGGGUUGUAAAGCUCUUUCGGCCGGGAAGAAAUCGUAUGGGUUAAUACCCUGUGCGGAUGACGGUACCGGCAUAAGAAGCACCGGCUAACUACGUG